UACGUAGGGGGCGAGCGUUGUCCGGAUUUAUUGGGCGUAAAGAGCGUGUAGGCGGCCAGACAGGUCCGUUGUGAAAACUCGAGGCUCAACCUCGAGAUGUCGAUGGAAACCGUCUGGCUAGAGUCCGGAAGAGGAGUGUGGAAUUCCUGGUGUAGCGGUGAAAUGCGCAGAUAUCAGGAAGAACACCUAUGGCGAAGGCAGCACUCUGGGACGGUACUGACGCUGAGACGCGAAAGCGUAGGGAGCGAACAGG
This 253-nucleotide ribosomal RNA is filed under the name uncultured bacterium. RNAcentral describes it as "partial 16S ribosomal RNA". It matches the Rfam family "Bacterial small subunit ribosomal RNA", at positions 524 to 776 of the family's 1533-position model. The record is from RNAcentral.